Molecule: RNA transcript, 3286 nt
Organism: Balaenoptera musculus (blue whale)
Lineage: Eukaryota; Metazoa; Chordata; Mammalia; Artiodactyla; Balaenopteridae
Gene: ATG7
Gene name: autophagy related 7
Exons: 18
Source: RefSeq, a predicted model, not a curated record
CGGACAGCGCCGUGGUUGCCGGAAGUUGGGCGGCGGCAGUAAAUAAUGGCGGCAGUUAUGGGGGAUCCCGGACUCUCCAAAUUGCAGUUUGCCCCCUUCAGCAGUGCCUUGGAUGUUGGAUUCUGGCAUGAGUUGACCCAGAAGAAGCUGAAUGAGUAUCGGUUGGACGAAGCUCCCAAGGACAUUAAGGGUUAUUACUACAAUGGUGAUUCUGCUGGGCUGCCAGCUCGCUUAACGUUGGAGUUCAGUUCUUUUGACAUGAAUGCUCCCCCACCAGCCCGCUGCUGCCCCGCGGUUGGAACGCUGUAUAACACCAACACACUGGAGGCUUUCAAGGCUGCAGAUAAGAAGCUACUUCUGGAACAGGCAGCAAACGAGAUCUGGGAAUCCAUCAGAUCGGGGGCUGCUCUCGACCACCCUGUCCUCCUCAACAAGUUCCUCCUCUUGACGUUUGCGGAUCUAAAGAAGUACCACUUCUACUAUUGGUUUUGCUCCCCCGCUCUCUGCCUUCCAGAGAGUAUACCCCUCAUUCGGGGGCCAGUGGACUUGGAUCAAAGGUUCUCACCACAACAGAUUCAAGCCCUUGAACGAGCAUAUGAUGAUCUUUGUCAAACAGAAGGAGUCCCAGCACUGCCUUACUUCUUAAUCAAGUAUGAUGAGAACAUGGUGCUGAUUUCCUUGGUUAAACACUACAGUGAUUUCUUCCAAGGUCAAAGGACCAAGAUAACUAUUGGUGUAUAUGAUCCCUGUAACUUAGCCCAGUACCCUGGAUGGCCUUUGAGGAAUUUUUUGGUCCUAGCAGCCCACAGAUGGAGUAGCAGUUUCCAGUCUGUUGAAGUCCUCUGCUUCCGGGACCGCACUCUGCAGGGGGUGAGAGACGUCACCCACAGCAUCAUCUUCGAAGUGAAGCUUCCAGAAAUGGCAUUUAGCCCAGAUUGUCCCAAGGCAGUUGGAUGGGAAAAGAACCAGAAAGGAGGCAUGGGACCAAGGAUGGUGAACCUCAGCGAAUGUAUGGACCCUAAAAGGUUAGCUGAGUCAUCAGUGGAUCUAAAUCUCAAAUUGAUGUGUUGGAGAUUGGUCCCUACUUUGGACUUAGACAAGGUUGUGUCUGUCAAGUGUCUGCUGCUCGGAGCUGGCACCUUGGGUUGUAAUGUAGCCAGGACAUUGAUGGGUUGGGGCGUCAGACACAUCACAUUUGUGGACAAUGCCAAGAUCUCCUAUUCCAACCCUGUGAGGCAGCCUCUGUAUGAAUUUGAAGAUUGCCUGGCGGGUGGUAAGCCCAAGGCCCUGGCUGCAGCAGACCGGCUCCAGAAAAUAUUCCCCGGAGUGAACGCCAGAGGGUUCAACAUGAGCAUCCCCAUGCCGGGACACCCAGUGAACUUCUCCAGCGUCACCCUGGAGCAGGCCCGCAGGGAUGUAGAGCGGCUGGAGCAGCUCGUCGAAGGCCAUGAUGUCGUGUUCCUGCUGAUGGACACCCGGGAGAGCCGAUGGCUGCCCGCCGUCAUCGCCGCGAGCAAGAGGAAGCUGGUCAUCAAUGCUGCCUUGGGAUUUGACACAUUUGUUGUCAUGAGACAUGGCCUGAAGAAGCCUAAGCAGCAGGGAGCCGGGGACUUGUGUCCCAGCCACCCUGUGGCACCUGCCGACCUCCUGGGCCCAUCACUUUUUGCCAACAUCCCUGGCUACAAACUUGGCUGCUAUUUCUGCAAUGAUGUGGUGGCCCCGGGAGAUUCAACCAGAGACCGGACCUUGGACCAGCAGUGCACUGUGAGUCGUCCGGGACUGGCCAUGAUUGCAGGAGCCCUGGCGGUGGAAUUGAUGGUUUCCGUUUUGCAGCAUCCAGAAGGAUACGAGGAUUUCUGUCGCGAUUUGAUAAUGUCCUUCCGGUCAGCCUGGCGUUUGACAAAUGUACAGCUUGUUCUUCCAAAGUUCUUGAUCAGUAUGAACGAGAAGGAUUUAAUUUCCUGGUGAAGGUGUUUAAUUCUUCACAUUCCUUCUUAGAGGAUUUGACUGGUCUUACGUUGCUGCAUCAAGAGACCCAGGCUGCUGAGAUCUGGGACAUGAGCGACGACGAGACCGUCUGACACGCCCCCCCACCCUGGCUGCCGGCCCACUGAGGGGCUCUCAGUCUCCGGAGCAGGACGCCACCCCCAGGACCGGUGAUUCUGGGCCCCUCCAACCUUUGUGGUCCCCUCAUCUCCAUACCUUAAGGACUGGGGCCCUCCCUCGGCUGCCCGGGAGCUUCUCCGUUUCUUAUGAUUCAUGGUCCCACCAGUUCUCAGCUAAAUAAUAACCUUGGCUUCGGCCUUGCCAGUGAUCUGGGACUUGGUUCCCUCCACGAGCAGUUCUUUCUUCUUGUUGUCACGGGUGUUUGGUAGUCAGGCUCCCGGGAUUCUCCUGGCCAUGACCCCCAUGGGGUGGAAUGAGGACAGGGAGGAGUUGGCCCAACACAGAGCAGGUAGGCAAGUGAGAAGUCAGCUCCUUCCAGCAGCCAUCGCGGGGGCAGCGCCACAAAGCCCCCAGAGCGGCCCUGGGCACGUGUGAGGGCUGGGGUUCUCAUCAGCGCUGUCAGCUUGGCCUGCGGGCGUGGGAGGCAGGAGAGCUGAGCCACGUGCGGGACAGAAGGGACCACACUUGUCCCAGUGAACCCAGACCCCCGCUGAGGACGGAGUCUGUUGCCCAGACAGCCCCUCCACCUGUGGGCCUGUCCUCAGCCGCGGGCUCAGGGGAGGACACAAGUGUCUGCUGCUUCGGGCUGGUGGCAGGGCCCAGGGACAGAUCCUCGAAGCUGCCUGCGUGGGGCCCCUCCUCCCUCUGUACAGGACACCCGAGGCCCAGAGAAGGCUUCAGACCCCACGUGAGAGCCUGCCCUCCUGCCGCAAGCAGGGGCGGCCGCGCCUCCUGCCCCAGGCUCCUCCCUGGUGGUGGCCUGGAAGCCCCAGCGCCGUGUGGGGUGGAGCCCGUGGUGUGUCUGCCUCAGCCUGUGGCCAGGUGCCCAUCGGGGUGGUGGGAGGGCUCUGCCAUGGGCCCCUCAGGCUGAUUUUCCUCCUCCUCCUGGGUGAGCACGUCCGUGCCAGCCUCAGAGCUGGGCAUGGAACCCAGCAGAGGGGCCCUUUCCACACUUUUAUUUCUGUGGUGUCAUCUUUUGUCUUGGGCCUGGAACCAAAGUCAGAAUUGAGUCUGAGUCGUACCAGAGUUGGAUUUCUGUAAGUUAGUUAGGUUUUAAAUGACGUUUCUCCUAGAGAGUUAAAAUUACAGCUUUCCAGCCUGUGCAGGGCUUAAAUCGGAG